AACGAUGACUUCUGUGCUUGCACAGAAUGAUUAGUGGCGAACGGGUGAGUAACACGUGAGUAACCUGCCCUUGACUUCGGGAUAAGCCUGGGAAACCGGGUCUAAUACCGGAUACGACCUCCUGGCGCAUGCCAUGGGGGUGGAAAGCUUUAUGCGGUUUUGGAUGGACUCGCGGCCUAUCAGCUUGUUGGCGGGGUAAUGGCCCACCAAGGCGACGACGGGUAGCCGGCCUGAGAGGGUGACCGGCCACACUGGGACUGAGACACGGCCCAGACUCCUACGGGAGGCAGCAGUGGGGAAUAUUGCACAAUGGGCGAAAGCCUGAUGCAGCGACGCCGCGUGAGGGACGAAUGCCUUCGGGUUGUAAACCUCUUUCAGCAGGGAAGAAGCGAAAGUGACGGUACCUGCAGAAGAAGCGCCGGCUAACUACG
Molecule: ribosomal RNA, 431 nt
Filed under: unidentified bacterium TMB830
Lineage: Bacteria
Description: bacterial SSU rRNA
Rfam family: Bacterial small subunit ribosomal RNA
Source: RNAcentral